RNAcentral lists this unclassified non-coding RNA (210 nucleotides) under Hevea brasiliensis (rubber tree). The record is from RNAcentral. Lineage: Eukaryota; Viridiplantae; Streptophyta; Magnoliopsida; Malpighiales; Euphorbiaceae.
GGGUGGCGAGCAGGCAUACUUACAAGUACUUGUACUUUUACACACAUAUUUACCAAUAUGCAGGUAAGCAAACAUGUUACAAAAGCAGUAAUAGAUAGUAUCUGCCAUCUCAUGUUACAAGUGCUUAUGUGCACAUGCGUUCACACACACAAAUGAAAAGACUUGCCUUUAUGCAAGUAAGCACUACUCCAUUUUAAACCUCAUUUUAUU